UGGCGAACGGGUGAGUAACGCGUGAGGAACCUGCCUCAAAGAGGGGGACAACAGUUGGAAACGACUGCUAAUACCGCAUAAGCCCACGACCCGGCAUCGGGUAGAGGGAAAAGGAGCAAUCCGCUUUGAGAUGGCCUCGCGUCCGAUUAGCUAGUUGGUGAGGUAACGGCCCACCAAGGCGACGAUCGGUAGCCGGACUGAGAGGUUGAACGGCCACAUUGGGACUGAGACACGGCCCAG
Molecule: ribosomal RNA, 240 nt
Filed under: uncultured bacterium
Lineage: Bacteria
Description: partial 16S ribosomal RNA
Rfam family: Bacterial small subunit ribosomal RNA
Source: RNAcentral